This 253-nucleotide ribosomal RNA is filed under the name uncultured bacterium. RNAcentral describes it as "partial 16S ribosomal RNA". It matches the Rfam family "Bacterial small subunit ribosomal RNA", at positions 524 to 776 of the family's 1533-position model. The record is from RNAcentral.
UACGAAGGGGACUAGCGUUGUUCGGAAUUACUGGGCGUAAAGCGCACGUAGGCGGAUUGGAAAGUCAGACGUGAAAUCCCUCGGCUUAACCGGGGAACUGCGUCUGAUACUGGAUGGCUAGAGGUUGGGAGAGGGAUGCGGAAUUCCAGGUGUAGCGGUGAAAUGCGUAGAUAUCUGGAGGAACACCGGUGGCGAAGGCGGCAUCCUGGACCAAUUCUGACGCUGAGGAGCGAAAGCCAGGGGAGCAAACGGG